This is a ribosomal RNA of Drechslerella stenobrocha 248, 120 nucleotides long. NCBI's taxonomy places the organism in Eukaryota, Fungi, Ascomycota, Orbiliomycetes, Orbiliales, Orbiliaceae. The record is from Rfam.
AUCUACGGCCAUAGAACGAGGAACACUGGGUAUCCCGUCCGCUCUGCCUUACAUAAGCCUCGUAUCGGGUAGCUAGUAGUGCCGUGGGUGACCAGGCGCGAAUAUUACCUGCUGUAGAUU